Long non-coding RNA from Oncorhynchus tshawytscha (Chinook salmon), 914 nucleotides. Lineage: Eukaryota; Metazoa; Chordata; Actinopteri; Salmoniformes; Salmonidae. The record is from Ensembl.
CACUGAGGCAUUGUGACUUGUCCAAAAUGGCAAAUAUUGCAUUGCUGGAGGAUCUGGCACAAGCCCCAUUAUGCAGGGAGUGUAUUUUCAAUGCGCAUGCAGAUUUUUUUUGCUGAGUGCGACGCUUGACCUAUUAGAUUUCGUUUUCAAGGCAUAUUUUAUUGUGUCUCUGUAACCAACUCUAACCAGUAUUAGAAAGGGAGACGAAACGCCCCAGUGCAUACCAACGUCUUCUCCCUGGGAGUUUUAGCCACUGGAACAUUCUAACGGCAGAAUGCAGAUCGGUCAGGCAUUUUAAAACCAACCAGGAGCCGAAUAUUGCCUGCAGUCCUCAUGGCAUUAUUUAAUUGAUCCCACAAUACAUACAGUUUCCGUGCAACAGGCCAGAGUGAAAAGGAUUUCCAUAGCUGGAUUUCCCAAUGUCAUUGGAGAAAUUGACUGCAACCACAUCACAAUAAAAGCACCACUGAACAAAUUCAACUUCGUCAAAACUAAAGGUUUCCAUUCUGUCAAUGUGCAGGUCGUCUGUGAUUCACAUUUGGCUUUGUUGAAUGUAGUGGCCAAACGGCCAGGUGGGGGACAAUUAAUUCAUUGUGCAAAACAGUUCAGUUGGCCUUCACCUCCAGGAAGGAGCUGUUGAGGAUGGAUGGCUUAUUGGUUUGCUACAUUGUCAAGGCUUGCAGUGUGCUCAACAAGAGUCAAUAUCAUACGGUUUUAGGACUGCGUCAGCCAAAGCAGCUGAAGCGCUCACCAACGAGGACACCCUUGUAGCCCUGGAAAUGGCUGAGGGGUCAGGCAAAUCAGCCACCUCUGUGAAGACUUCAUGUUUUGUUAUAUUUAUUUUGUUACAUAUAACAAAUAUGUAGAUGUGGCCCAUGUCUGAAUAUGGUUGCAAAAAUAAAGCUUGACUUACC